This 460-nucleotide ribosomal RNA is filed under the name uncultured bacterium. Its description in RNAcentral is "partial 16S ribosomal RNA". It matches the Rfam family "Bacterial small subunit ribosomal RNA", at positions 338 to 795 of the family's 1533-position model. The record is from RNAcentral.
CCUACGGGAGGCAGCAGUGAGGAAUAUUGGUCAAUGGACGAGAGUCUGAACCAGCCAAGUAGCGUGAAGGAUGACUGCCCUAUGGGUUGUAAACUUCUUUUAUAUGGGAAUAAAACGCUCCACGUGUGGGAUUUUGUAUGUACCAUAUGAAUAAGGAUCGGCUAACUCCGUGCCAGCAGCCGCGGUAAUACGGAGGAUCCGAGCGUUUUCCGGAUUUAUUGGGGUUAAAGGGAGCGUAGGUGGAUUGUUAAGUCAGUUGUGAAAGUUUGCGGCUCAACCGUAAAAUUGCAGUUGAAACUGGCAGUCUUGAGUACAGUAGAGGUGUGCGGAAUUCGUGGUGUAGCGGUGAAAUGCUUAGAUAUCACGAAGAACUCCGAUUGCGAAGGCAGUUCACUGGACUGCAACUGACACUGAGGCUCGAAAGUGUGGGUAUCAAACAGGAUUAGAUACCCGGGUAGUC